This 125-nucleotide ribosomal RNA is filed under the name Monopterus albus (swamp eel). The record is from RNAcentral. Lineage: Eukaryota; Metazoa; Chordata; Actinopteri; Synbranchiformes; Synbranchidae.
CGUGGUAGCCACGCCGCCCUGGUUGUACCCCAUCUUGGAAACUAAGCAGGGCCAGGCCUGGUUAGUAUUUGGGUAGGGGACCGCUGCUCCUUGGGAGUUUUAUUUGUUAAAAGAUGUUGUUAUGA